AUGACCAUGGUGCUGCGUGGCACAGGGCCACCCCGCCAUAGGCAUGAGCCAAGCCUAUUAUCUGCACACAGCAGGACCCACUUUCUGGUGCCUGAAGGGCUGCGUUUCCGGAGGAGCUCUCUCUGCAGAAUCACCUCGUCCUGCACUGCCAGAGCUGUUGUGCCCACAGGCAUGGAUGCACCGCUCCAGAAUCGCCCCAGCUGGUUCGGGACACCUCACAGCUGCUUGUGGGCAGCGAGUCAAGUCCAAAACCUUUUCUGGCUUUGUUCCUACUGUGACCGGUUCCUGCUGGCUGCCAUUAACUUCUCAAGGCAUAGAACCAGCAGCUGCAUUGAAUUGCCCCGCAAUAACAGCAUGAGAAGUCUGUGCAGCACCUAUAAUAGCAUCAGACUUUUGUUCACAUAA
RNAcentral lists this long non-coding RNA (405 nucleotides) under Phasianus colchicus (ring-necked pheasant). RNAcentral describes it as "lncRNA (ENSPCLG00000021897.1)". The record is from RNAcentral. Lineage: Eukaryota; Metazoa; Chordata; Aves; Galliformes; Phasianidae.